AUCCAGUUGACGAGUCCCAAAUAGGAUGAAAAGCAUGUCAAACUGGAU
Schistosoma mansoni is the source of this 48-nucleotide non-coding RNA. The record is from Rfam. Lineage: Eukaryota; Metazoa; Platyhelminthes; Trematoda; Strigeidida; Schistosomatidae.